UACGAGGGGUGCGAGCGUUGCUCGGAAUUAUUGGGCGUAAAGGGUAGGUAGGUGGUCUGAUUUGUCUGGGGUGAAAGCCUUGAGCUUAACUCAAGAAGUGCCCCAGAAACGGUCAGACUCGAGUCCUGGAGAGGGUCGUGGAAUUCCCGGUGUAGCGGUGAAAUGCGUAGAGAUCGGGAGGAACACCAGUGGCGAAGGCGGCGACCUGGACAGGUACUGACACUCAACUACGAAAGCGUGGGGAGCAAACAGG
This 253-nucleotide ribosomal RNA is filed under the name uncultured bacterium. RNAcentral describes it as "partial 16S ribosomal RNA". It matches the Rfam family "Bacterial small subunit ribosomal RNA", at positions 524 to 776 of the family's 1533-position model. The record is from RNAcentral.